This 72-nucleotide transfer RNA is filed under the name Canis lupus familiaris (dog). It matches the Rfam family "tRNA". Rfam says of the family: Transfer RNA (tRNA) molecules are approximately 80 nucleotides in length. Their secondary structure includes four short double-helical elements and three loops (D, anti-codon, and T loops). RNAcentral also lists the same sequence under 1 other name. Lineage: Eukaryota; Metazoa; Chordata; Mammalia; Carnivora; Canidae. The record is from Rfam by way of RNAcentral.
GCCCAGCUGGCUCAGUUGGUAGAGCAUGAACUCUUGAUCUCCAGAUUGUGAGUUUGAGCCCCAUGCUGGGCA